UACGUAGGGUGCAAGCGUUGUCCGGAAUUAUUGGGCGUAAAGAGCGUGUAGGCGGCCAGGUAGGUCGGUUGUGAAAACUAGAGGCUCAACCUCUAGACGUCGACCGAAACCAUCUGGCUAGAGUCCGGAAGAGGAGAGUGGAAUUCCUGGUGUAGCGGUGAAAUGCGCAGAUAUCAGGAAGAACACCCGUGGCGAAGGCGGCUCUCUGGGACGGUACUGACGCUGAGACGCGAAAGCGUGGGGAGCGAACAGG
RNAcentral lists this ribosomal RNA (253 nucleotides) under uncultured bacterium. RNAcentral's name for it is "partial 16S ribosomal RNA". It matches the Rfam family "Bacterial small subunit ribosomal RNA", at positions 524 to 776 of the family's 1533-position model. The record is from RNAcentral.